RNAcentral lists this ribosomal RNA (257 nucleotides) under uncultured bacterium. RNAcentral's name for it is "partial 16S ribosomal RNA". It matches the Rfam family "Bacterial small subunit ribosomal RNA", at positions 524 to 776 of the family's 1533-position model. The record is from RNAcentral.
UACGAAGGGGGCUAGCGUUGCUCGGAAUCACUGGGCGUAAAGGGUGCGUAGGCGGGUCUUUAAGUCAGGGGUGAAAUCCUGGAGCUCAACUCCAGAACUGCCUUUGAUACUGGCGAGCUUGAGUUCGGGAGAGGUGAGUGGAACUGCGAGUGUAGAGGUGAAAAUUCGUAGAUAUUCGCAAGAACACCAGUGGCGAAGGCGGCUGACUGGUCCGGUUCUGACGCUGAGGGCGCGAAAAGCGUGGGGGAGCAAACAGG